This 269-nucleotide ribosomal RNA is filed under the name uncultured prokaryote. Its description in RNAcentral is "partial 16S ribosomal RNA". It matches the Rfam family "Bacterial small subunit ribosomal RNA", at positions 524 to 792 of the family's 1533-position model. The record is from RNAcentral.
UACGUAGGUGGCAAGCGUUAUCCGGAUUUACUGGGUGUAAAGGGCGUGUAGGCGGGUUUGCAAGUUGGAUGUGAAAUCCUCAGGCUUAACCUGAGAGGGUCAUCCAAAACUGCAGAUCUUGAGUACUGGAGGGGAUAGUGGAAUUCCUAGUGUAGCGGUAAAAUGCGUAGAUAUUAGGAGGAACACCAGUGGCGAAGGCGACUAUCUGGACAGUAACUGACGCUGAGGCGCGAAAGCGUGGGGAGCAAACAGGAUUAGAUACCCUGGUA